This 339-nucleotide long non-coding RNA is filed under the name Mytilus galloprovincialis (Mediterranean mussel). Lineage: Eukaryota; Metazoa; Mollusca; Bivalvia; Mytilida; Mytilidae. The record is from RNAcentral.
CACUUGGAUAUAUUAAAUGUAAGUGAUCACUGAAUCUUUUAUUAUUAAGAGACAGUACAUCAUCAAUAUACCGAAAGGUGAAAUUAAAAGACUGGGCUAAUUUCUUUUCUCCUUUCUGUUCAAGCCCUUGGAUAAAUUAUGCUUCAUAGGAAUACAAAAACAAAUCUGCAAGUAGAGGAGCGCAAUUGGUACCCAUUGGGAUUCCAAUAGUCUGUAGGAAGACCAAUCCUCCAAAUUCAACAAAUAUGUUGUCAAUUAAAAAGUCCAGCAUGGCAGUGAUAUCCUUUUCGGUGUAUUUUUUCCUUGACUGUAUGAUUUUUCACAAAGUAAGCUGAAUUU